Molecule: long non-coding RNA, 1362 nt
Filed under: Eptatretus burgeri (inshore hagfish)
Lineage: Eukaryota; Metazoa; Chordata; Myxini; Myxiniformes; Myxinidae
Description: lncRNA (ENSEBUG00000017407.1)
Source: RNAcentral
GUUUCCACAGCUUGAAGCCGAUGAACGUGAGAGGCAGGAGCACCAACCAGAGGGGCAGACCAGUACUCCACGAGGCUGCAGAUGAAAGCUUUGUACGUGAUCAGGAACUAAGGUGUGCCAAGGAAAGACUUUGCAUGACUGAGGAUGUCCAGUCGGCGACUGGUUUUGGAGGCCAGCUUGGAAAUGUGGUUUUCCCUGAAAAGAUUAUGGCAGACAGACCCAGAAGCUUGAAUGAAAGGACUUCUUCAAGAGGAUUGUUGAGAAAGAUGGGGGUGGGGUUGGGGGGGGUGUUUCAGACAUUCCUUUUGGAGAGGCAUCAUUCUAUAUUGGUUCUGAUGUAUUUCUUGAUGGCUGGCAGAUGGCCUUGAGGUAUGCACACUCGCCUCUCAGCUGUCUCGCCUGGGUUUGAAGCCCGACCCAACUAUAAAUUGUCAUCUCUGUGUUUCACAGACAAUGCGAUUCAUCAAUGUGCAUGCCGUUCCUCGGAUGGAUGUUUAACGGGUGUCCCAUCUGCUGGCAUUAGUUUGUGGAUGCUGAAGAUCCCAUGUCAUCCUUCACGAAGAGUCGGCAAGCUAUCGCUGGCACCCUGGUCGAAUUCCAAAUUCCUGCGCCAACUACUUUGUCAAAGGUCUAUGAAAACAAACGGAGAUUGCUUCAGCCUUCUCUUUCCAUUUCGACGACAUCCUGGGCUAUCGGAUACUUACACGAGACGAGCGACAUUCAGCGUGGAUCAACAGAAGAACCAAAGACUCUCGAAGGAAUCGUUUCGUUGGUUUCUGAAUCGAGUGCAAGAUGACCUGGAUCACCCUAUGAUGAGGACCAUUGUGCCGAAUCCCCCUCCAACAAUUGUCCAUGGUGCUGUGAUUCUAGGCAAGUGCAUAAUUUCAAUUGGAUGUUGGAGAUGCGUGCGGUGUUUCACAGGCUUUAUUGUAUUUAUUUGUAUGCAGCCUGUGGCUGCUUGGCUGCAUCAUCUUUUGGAGAGUGCGGCUGUACUGCUGAUGCAGUACCCCCUGUUACCAGGAGGCUGGUACUCAUUUUGCCAAACUCGGAAGGAUGACAGUCAACCCACCUAGUGUUAAUUCAACAAGAAGACAGGGGCUUGAACACGAGACCUUAAGAUCUUAAGUCAGCCAUCCUAACCGUUAUGCCAAGACCAGACUUCAUGAUAGGGUGACCAUCCAGGAGUCCUGAUUUAACCCUGUGAAAUUUUUCUUUUGAGGGGAUUGUCUAAAGAAGUGUAUGCCAACGAACCCCCUCAUUUGGGAAAAUUAGAAAAAAUGUUUUUUGCUGAUUUCUGGAGGAGUAUUUUUUGCCGUUAAAUGGAAGAUGUUGUCGAAGUUCUGUGUUAUCUCAAAAAAUGUU